This is a long non-coding RNA of Pomacea canaliculata, 454 nucleotides long. RefSeq lists it as uncharacterized. The transcript has 2 exons. NCBI's taxonomy places the organism in Eukaryota, Metazoa, Mollusca, Gastropoda, Architaenioglossa, Ampullariidae. The record is from RefSeq and is a predicted model, not a curated record.
CUUUCUCUUUUUUGUUUUUUUCUCUCCCCCAUGGCCAUCAACUGCACGCGAGUGCUGGUGCCCGUGAUGUCAGGUCUGCUCACCGCAACCCAUCGUCAUCGACAUCAAAGUCACUCUACGGUUGUGAGGAGCCGGCCACUGAGCCAUUAAACUCGGGGUUGACAGGUGACAAAGGGGAGUUGAUGACGUGUUGUGGAGAACAUGUUGCAACCUGUGGAUGGAGUAGGGACAAUGGACUGGCAGCUUGCCCACACUCGCCCUACUCUGCACGAGUGGACCAGGGGCACCGGAAGUAGGCACUAACCCUGACUGACGCGACGUCUGGCGGUGAAAAUGCUGUUUGGACAUGGGAGAGGGGGAAGAAUGUACAGCGGUCUUCUCUACUUUAUUAUUUUAAGUUUAAUUUUACAUUCAAUUUAAUUUGAAGAAAGAAAUUAAAGUUAUUCAAAUGAAA